This 128-nucleotide small nucleolar RNA is filed under the name Castor canadensis (American beaver). RNAcentral's name for it is "Small nucleolar RNA SNORA51 (ENSCCNG00000005439.1)". It matches the Rfam family "Small nucleolar RNA SNORA51". From Rfam's summary of the family: ACA51 is a member of the H/ACA class of snoRNA that guide the sites of modification of uridines to pseudouridines. Lineage: Eukaryota; Metazoa; Chordata; Mammalia; Rodentia; Castoridae. The record is from Rfam by way of RNAcentral.
GGCUUCCUGGUGCUUACCACAGUGUUCUUACACUGAGUGUAUAGAAAGAGGAGACAAAGUAGACCUACCCCAUAUACACCUCAUCCCAGGCCCUGUACCUGGUCGGUAUCGUGAAUGGGGAGACAUGG